CCUACGGGAGGCAGCAGUGAGGAAUAUUGCGCAAUGGGCGAAAGCCUGACGCAGCGACGCCGCGUGAGGGAUGAAGGUCUUCGGAUCGUAAACCUCUGUCAGCAGGGAAGAAAGGUCAGUGUGCUAAUCAGCAUUGAAUUGACGGUACCUGCAAAGGAAGCACCGGCUAACUCCGUGCCAGCAGCCGCGGUAAUACGGAGGGUGCGAGCGUUAAUCGGAAUGACUGGGCGUAAAGCGUUCGUAGGCGGUAUGUCAAGUCAAGGGUGAAAUCCCCGCGCUCAACGUGGGAACUGCCUUGGAAACUGGCAAACUGGAGUGUGUGGGAGGAUAGUGGAAUUCCAGGUGUAGGAGUGAAAUCCGUAGAUAUCUGGAGGAACACCAGUGGCGAAGGCGACUAUCUGGCACAUAACUGACGCUGAGGAGCGAAAGCGUGGGUAGCAAACAGGAUUAGAUACCCCAGUAGUC
Molecule: ribosomal RNA, 465 nt
Filed under: uncultured bacterium
Lineage: Bacteria
Description: partial 16S ribosomal RNA
Rfam family: Bacterial small subunit ribosomal RNA
Source: RNAcentral